UACGUAGGGUGCAAGCGUUGUCCGGAAUUAUUGGGCGUAAAGAGCUCGUAGGCGGUCUGUCACGUCGGCUGUGAAAACCUGGGGCUCAACCCCGGGCCUGCAGCCGAUACGGGCAGACUAGAAUUCGGUAGGGGAGACUGGAAUUCCUGGUGUAGCGGUGAAAUGCGCAGAUAUCAGGAGGAACACCGGUGGCGAAGGCGGGUCUCUGGGCCGAUAUUGACGCUGAGGAGCGAAAGCGUGGGGAGCGAACAGG
Molecule: ribosomal RNA, 253 nt
Filed under: uncultured bacterium
Lineage: Bacteria
Description: partial 16S ribosomal RNA
Rfam family: Bacterial small subunit ribosomal RNA
Source: RNAcentral